RNAcentral lists this small RNA (41 nucleotides) under unclassified sequences. RNAcentral describes it as "SAM-SAH-Weickhmann-2018 RNA". The record is from RNAcentral.
CUGCAACGGCUUCCUGGCGCAGAUCUAACUUAAAUGGACCA